Oreochromis niloticus (Nile tilapia) is the source of this 1301-nucleotide long non-coding RNA. RefSeq lists it as uncharacterized. The transcript has 2 exons. The record is from RefSeq and is a predicted model, not a curated record. NCBI's taxonomy places the organism in Eukaryota, Metazoa, Chordata, Actinopteri, Cichliformes, Cichlidae.
UUGGCAUUGCGAGUGGAAAAAACUGAGCUGCACUUUCAGCACUUUCAGAUGCUUCAUGAAAUUGGACCCUCACCUGGAGUCUAUUUUGGUCUCUUGCAGGUUGAAACCAGGCGAAAGGGGUGUUCAAGAGGAAAAAUUGGCCAAUACCAAGUGUUAUUGACAACACCCACAGCCUGUAAAAUUGCAGAGAGACCAUCUUGGAUUCAUCAGAACCACUGCAAGAAAGUAGAGCUUGAAGCCCAGACCACUAGAGAUGCACAAGUGUAAGGGGAGUUUCCCCCGGGUGUCAGUAAAGUCCGGUGGUGAGGGAGGAGUGCUGAUUGAGCUCAGCUCGCACUCUCAUUCUCUCUAGCCAUUGACCAACUUUAGGCUCACUGAUACAUUUGGGUGUGACCAACCUCAAGCAUGAAGUGUUCUCAGGUGGUAACUGGCGUCUCUGUUCAUCACACUAUCAACCCUGGAAGAUGGAAGAAAACAAUACACGAGCCAAGAAAAGAGAUGGACGAUGCCUGAUACAGAUACGUGUUUAACAAAACCACAGAGAAAGACUGUUACGUCUGCUCGCACAUGCCAAGCAUAUUGACACAACCAUAUAUGGGAAACAUCCUGGAACAAGUGCACUAAUUCUGAUCUCCGAUCACACCUUGAGAAUGACUUUUGUAAAGUGCACAACAUCAUCAUCGUCAACCAGGAAGAAACGCUCCACUUCAACACUCAGACCACAUGACUCAAUUUGGGAAACCGACAUACCUGAAGAAUUCAAACUCUGGACAACUGGACAAAAGGUACUCAACUCACUCUUCCUGUGGGCAGGAGUUGGAAAACGUGCUCUCAGAAGUGAGAUACUGGACUAUAGAUUCGGCUUGUUUCUCAAAGCAUCCUGGAAGGUCAACGAAGGACAAAACCAAGAAAUAGACGCUCUCAGAACUGCUGUAAUGCAACAUCGUGUAGAACCUCACAUGAUCCUGGCUGAGAAAGGAGGAUUGUGUGUCUUAUUCAAUACCACAUGCUGCACUUACAUAUCAGAUAAUGUACAUUCUUCAGACAUGACUUCAGAUUUUAAAGAGAUUGUUGAUUGUCGUUGGACUUUUCCUGAUUUUAUUUUAUUUUUCUUUAUUUGAGUUAUUCCUUGUUUAGAAGCUGUAAUUUCACAGAUGAUAAGUUUAUCAUUCGCAGCAUACGCAGAUGUACUGAAAUCAAUGAAGAUCAUGAAGACUUCUUUUCCUAUUUGUUAGAUAAAGAUGAAGUGUAACUAAUGAUGUAGUAACUGAGAAUGUGAAAGACAAGUAGUUACUCACUGA